Molecule: ribosomal RNA, 1434 nt
Filed under: uncultured marine bacterium
Lineage: Bacteria
Description: 16S ribosomal RNA
Rfam family: Bacterial small subunit ribosomal RNA
Source: RNAcentral
GAGUUUGAUCAUGGCUCAGAACGAACGCUGGCGGCAGGCCUAAUACAUGCAAGUCGAGCGCGCCCUUCGGGGUGAGCGGCGGACGGGUGAGUAACGCGUGGGAAUAUGCCCUUCUCUAAGGAAUAGCCUCUGGAAACGGAGAGUAAUACCUUAUACGCCCUUUGGGGGAAAGAUUUAUCGGAGAAGGAUUAGCCCGCGUUAGAUUAGGUAGUUGGUGGGGUAAUGGCCUACCAAGCCUACGAUCUAUAGCUGGUUUGAGAGGAUGAUCAGCCACACUGGGACUGAGACACGGCCCAGACUCCUACGGGAGGCAGCAGUAGGGAAUCUUGCACAAUGGAGGAAACUCUGAUGCAGCGAUGCCGCGUGAGUGAAGAAGGCCUUUGGGUUGUAAAGCUCUUUCGUCGGGGAAGAAAAUGACUGUACCCGAAUAAGAAGGUCCGGCUAACUUCGUGCCAGCAGCCGCGGUAAUACGAAGGGACCUAGCGUAGUUCGGAAUUACUGGGCUUAAAGAGUUCGUAGGUGGUUGAAAAAGUUGGUGGUGAAAUCCCAGAGCUUAACUCUGGAACUGCCAUCAAAACUUUUCAGCUAGAGUAUGAUAGAGGAAAGCAGAAUUUCUAGUGUAGAGGUGAAAAUCGUAGAUAUUAGAAAGAAUACCAAUUGCGAAGGCAGCUUUCUGGAUCAUUACUGACACUGAGGAACGAAAGCAUGGGUAGCGAAGAGGAUUAGAUACCCUCGUAGUCCAUGCCGUAAACGAUGUGUGUUAGACGUUGGAAAUUUAUUUUCAGUGUCGCAGGGAAACCGAUAAACACACCGCCUGGGGAGUACGACCGCAAGGUUAAAACUCAAAUGAAUUGACGGGGACCCGCACAAGUAGUGGAGCAUGUGGUUUAAUUCGAAGAUACGCGCAGAACCUUACCAACACUUGACAUGUUCGUCGCGACUCUAAGAGAUUAGAGUUUUCGGUUCGGCCGGACGAAACACAGGUGCUGCAUGGCUGUCGUCAGCUCGUGUCGUGAGAUGUUGGGUUAAGUCCCGCAACGAGCGCAACCCUCACUUUUAGUUGCCAUCAUUAAGUUGGGCACUCUGAAAGAACUGCCAGUGAUAAGCUGGAGGAAGGUGGGGAUGACGUCAAGUCCUCAUGGCCCUUACGUGUUGGGCUACACACGUGCUACAAUGGCAUCUACAACAGGAAGCAAAACGGCAACGUUAAGCAAAUCCCGAAAAGAUGCCUCAGUUCGGAUUGCACUCUGCAACUCGAGUGCAUGAAGCUGGAAUUACUAGUAAUCGUGGAUCAGCGUGCCACGGUGAAUGCGUUCCCGGGUCUUGUACACACCGCCCGUCACACCAUGGGAGUUGGUUCUACCUUAAGGCAAGGUUUUAAACCCUUGACCACGGUAUAGUCAGCGACUGGGGUGAAGUCGUAACAAGGUAACC